GGCCGGGUGGUGUACGAUGCACACUUGCUGCUAAUAGGUUGAACGUAGAGUCUGCAAGAGGACCUCGUUCGAUUCGGGGCUUGGCCG
Molecule: non-coding RNA, 87 nt
Organism: Mycena metata
Lineage: Eukaryota; Fungi; Basidiomycota; Agaricomycetes; Agaricales; Mycenaceae
Source: the annotation of a GenBank genome assembly